This 292-nucleotide ribosomal RNA is filed under the name uncultured eukaryote. RNAcentral describes it as "partial 18S ribosomal RNA". It matches the Rfam family "Eukaryotic small subunit ribosomal RNA", at positions 6 to 316 of the family's 1831-position model. The record is from RNAcentral.
GGUUGAUCCUGCCAGUAGUCAUAUGCUUGUCUCAAAGAUUAAGCCAUGCAUGUCUAAGUAUAAGCUUUUUAUACGGCGAAACUGCGAAUGGCUCAUUAAAACAGUUAUAGUUUACUUGAUAAUCAAAACUACAUGGAUAACCGUGGUAAUUCUAGAGCUAAUACAUGCGAAAAAACCCAACUUCGCGGAAGGGUUGUAUUUAUUAGAUAAAGAACCAAUGAGCUUGGUGAUUCAUAAUAACUUUACGGAUCGCAUCUCUGAUGCGACAUAUCAUUCAAGUUUCUGACCUAUC